Salmo salar (Atlantic salmon) is the source of this 1252-nucleotide non-coding RNA. The record is from RefSeq and is a predicted model, not a curated record. NCBI's taxonomy places the organism in Eukaryota, Metazoa, Chordata, Actinopteri, Salmoniformes, Salmonidae.
ACAGUGUACUAAAAUGAACUAAUAGUAUGUAGUUUAUACUCAUUAAAUAUGUAGUAUGGGUAUUCGAACACAGCUACUGUGCCGCCCCAGCCUCCCACCUACUGUGCUAGUGGGGGGCGACCCGUAGACCUUGUCCUUCGCCCCCGCCUUUCGGGCACGGGUUUUCUCUGGUGCAUAGCAGGCGGAAGCGACACUGUGCUAACUAGCAAGCUAACACACCGCAAACUAACAUUAGUCGCCCCAUGUUCCCGCCUGCUGUGCUAGCGGGAGGUGGGAGCGACAGAUAGACAUGCCUUCCUGACUGGCCAGAGUACAUAGAGAUCAAAGACCAGGAGUAGAUCCAGGGCCUGACGAGAGCCUGCCAGCUAGCAAGACAAAUACUGUUGCUGGCCGGACGCAGUCUUAAGGUUGGCAUGACGACAGAUGAGAGAUUUCAUCGUCCACCAGGAGACGAUUCGUCACAACGCAUACCCUUCCCCUCCUGAGAUAUAGGGGUUCCCCCAAAUCAGUCUGCACCUCGGUCAAUAACGUGGUCUGCCAUGGCAUACCUGACACCCGGCAACUACAAGAUGGAGACAUUAUCAACGUUGACGUGACCUGGUAUAACCCACUCCAAUGGUUUCCAUGCCAUGUCCCUACUUUAUUGGACAUGGCAUAGGCUCCUACUUCCAUGGCCACCCAGACAUCUUGCACCACGAGCCUAUAUUGAUGGAGGGAUCGUUAGAGUUGAGAAUCCUGAAGGACAAGUGGACAGCGGUGUCUGCUGACGACAAGAGGUUGUCCCAGUUUGAACACACGGUAGUCAUCACCUCUGGUGGAGUGGAUAUUCUCACCAAACUACCUGAGGAGGACGAGCCGAUGCCAAUUGAAGUUUAAUCACUGUUCUCUGCUCAACAACCCUGUCACAUCUACAUCUAUGAAGAGUGCACCGCUGUUGGUCGAGGAGAGCUGCUGGACCGAGGGGAGUCACAGGGGGUCUCCUGCUGUCCUGGUGGCAUCUGCCCGUUUCUCCACAGCUUCUUCAACUUAGCGCGGCGGUUCUGGAACCAGAUCUUCACCUGGGAGAGGAGUAGACAUGCAGAAGUAUAGGUAAUGUUUGAAAUUCCCAUCAUAUAUACAAGUGCACUGCUACCUCCAGUCAAGUACCUUACAUCUCCAGCAAGGAUAUUACACUUAUAUACAGUGCACUUACAGUUGAGGUCGGAAAUUUACAUACACUUAGGUUGGAGUCAUUAAAACUCGUUUUUCAACC